This 643-nucleotide ribosomal RNA is filed under the name uncultured bacterium. Its description in RNAcentral is "bacterial SSU rRNA". It matches the Rfam family "Bacterial small subunit ribosomal RNA", at positions 44 to 719 of the family's 1533-position model. The record is from RNAcentral.
GGGCUAACACAUGCAGUCGCACGAGAAAGGGACUUCGGUCCUGAGUACAGUGGCGCACGGGUGAGUAACACGUGAAUCAUCUACCUUCGAGUGGGGAAUAACUGGGAGAAAUCCUGGCUAAUACCGCAUAAUACCUACGGGUCAAAGCAGCAAUGCGCUUGAAGAGGAGUUCGCGGCAGAUUAGUUAGUUGGCGGGGUAAUGGCCCACCAAGACGAUGAUCUGUAUCCGGCCUGAGAGGGCGCACGGACACACUGGAACUGAAACACGGUCCAGACUCCUACGGGAGGCAGCAGUGGGGAAUUUUGCGCAAUGGGGGAAACCCUGACGCAGCAACGCCGCGUGGAGGAUGAAAUCCCUUGGGAUGUAAACUCCUUUCGAUAGGGAAGAUAAUGACGGUACCUAUAGAAGAAGCCCCGGCUAACUUCGUGCCAGCAGCCGCGGUAAUACGAGGGGGGCAAGCGUUGUUCGGAAUUAUUGGGCGUAAAGGGUGCGUAGGCGGUUUGACAAGUCUUAUGUGAAAUCUAUGGGCUCAACCCAUAGUCUGCAUGGGAAACUGUCGGGCUUGAGUAUGGGAGAGGUGAGUGGAAUUUCCGGGUGUAGCGGUGAAAUGCGUAGAUAUCGGGAAGGAACACCUGUGGCGAA